This 458-nucleotide ribosomal RNA is filed under the name uncultured bacterium. Its description in RNAcentral is "partial 16S ribosomal RNA". It matches the Rfam family "Bacterial small subunit ribosomal RNA", at positions 338 to 795 of the family's 1533-position model. The record is from RNAcentral.
CCUACGGGAGGCAGCAGUGGGGAAUAUUGCACAAUGGGGGAAACCCUGAUGCAGCGACGCCGCGUGAGUGAAGAAGUAUUUCGGUUUGUAAAGCUCUAUCAGCAGGGAAGAAAUAGCGACCUUUGGGUCGCCAGACGGUACCUGAUUCCGAAGCCCCGGCUAACUACGUGCCAGCAGCCGCGGUAAUACGUAGGGGGCAAGCGUUAUCCGGCUUUACUGGGUGUAAAGCGAGCGUAGGCGGCAGCGCAAGUCUGAAGUGAAAUGCCAGGGCUUAACCCCGGAACUGCUUUGGAAACUGUGCAGCUAGAGUGCAGGAGAGGUAAGUGGAAUUCCUAGUGUAGCGGUGAAAUGCGUAGAGAUUAGGAGGAACACCAGUGGCGAAGGCGGCUUACUGGACUGUAACUGACGUUGAGGCUCGAAAGCGUGGGGAGCAAACAGGAUUAGAUACCCCUGUAGUC